RNAcentral lists this ribosomal RNA (254 nucleotides) under uncultured bacterium. RNAcentral describes it as "partial 16S ribosomal RNA". It matches the Rfam family "Bacterial small subunit ribosomal RNA", at positions 526 to 779 of the family's 1533-position model. The record is from RNAcentral.
CGUAGGGUGCUAGCGUUGUUCGGAAUCAUUGGGCGUAAAGCGCGUGUAGGUGGUCAGUAAAGUUGGGUGUGAAAUCCCUCGGCUCAACCGAGGAAGUGCACUCAAAACUCACUGGCUUGAGAGUGGUAGAGGAAGGUGGAAUUCCUAGUGUAGAGGUGAAAUUCGUAGAUAUUAGGAGGAAUACCGGAGGCGAAGGCGGCCUUCUGGACCAUUUCUGACACUGAGACGCGAAAGCGUGGGUAGCAAACAGGAUU